Molecule: ribosomal RNA, 253 nt
Filed under: uncultured bacterium
Lineage: Bacteria
Description: partial 16S ribosomal RNA
Rfam family: Bacterial small subunit ribosomal RNA
Source: RNAcentral
GACGAACCGUGCAAACGUUGUUCGGAAUCACUGGGCUUAAAGGGCGCGUAGGCGGGCAGGCAAGUCCGGGGUGAAAUCUUUCGGCUUAACCGGAAAAGUGCCUUGGAUACUGCUUGUCUGGAGGGAGGUAGGGGCAUGUGGAACUUCUGGUGGAGCGGUGAAAUGCGUUGAUAUCAGAAGGAACGCCGGUGGCGAAAGCGACGUGCUGGACCCCUUCUGACGCUGAUGCGCGAAAGCUAGGGGAGCAAACGGG